GUUUAACUUUUUUUUCUUUCUCUCUCUCUUUUUUUUUUUUUUUUUAAAAAAGUUUAAAACAUACAAAGGGGAAAUGCUCUAAAUACAGCUCUGGGUAUGAGGCAGGGGGGAGGAGGCAGCUGCCGUGCAAAACCCGCUGCUGCUUACAGCAUGAGCAGCUGGGCAAAAGGGCUCUAGCAUGCUGCUUGAUGGGCAAGGAGAGCAAAUUGCAGAGAAAUCCUUCCAGGAAGGUAACUCCAGCUACAGGCAAGACAAGGACAUUGGUUAGGUGGGUCCAGCUCUGCAUGUUUCCUACACCUAUAUCCUCAAAGCUAGAAGGGGUUCUGUCUACCUGACUGACCCCACCAGCACCCUUUGGUGAGGAGUGGUUUUUGGCCUUCCUGCUCCUAAAUAUGUUAAAAAAAAUCUUUUUAAAAUAAAUCUUUUCUCAGCAAGUAACUGGUCUUUCAGGCAUAAGGGAACACCACUGCGCAGGACGGAUGCUCCCCUCAACCCCAUGGGGGAAAAGCACAGCAUCGGGACCAAUUUGCAUUUGUGGAAAGGAAAAAGACUCAAACCUCCUCCUUCCCAUGACAUACAGAGCACCAAGGACCUUCGGCUGGAAGUUUCAAUCCAACAGCAGCUGCGUUUCUUAAGAGCAAACGACAUUCACUUACUAAUGAAAACAGGAUUUAGGCUACACUGAGUAACUUUUUCCAUGAAAACCAUACAUCCUUCCACCACCAGGCAGCACAGAAUGUAACGAAGGCAUUUUCCAAAGGAAAGAAAACAAGGAGAAAGCCUCGUCCCUUUGUCACGGUAACCCUGCCUUCUGCUUUUGUACUGCAAUAGCAUCUAGGGGCCCCAGUUUCUCUGGGGACUCUUCUGGUCUCCAAGUUGCAUAUCCUUAUUUUCUAAGUGUCCCUUUUUUCCUCUAGGCACCUAGCACCCUGUGAAGGUUACCGAAUUUCUCUUUGCUUGCCCAGCUCUUCAGAGCAUGAGGUCUCAGAGGCUCAUUGCAAACACAUCUCACAGUCCUCAGUUUACAUUUUUGGGGACUGCUUCCAUGAGAGCAAUAGUAAAAGCUGCAAUUUCAGCAAC
This is a long non-coding RNA of Cygnus atratus (black swan), 1080 nucleotides long. RefSeq lists it as uncharacterized. The transcript is spliced from 2 exons. The record is from RefSeq and is a predicted model, not a curated record. Lineage: Eukaryota; Metazoa; Chordata; Aves; Anseriformes; Anatidae.